GGGGAUGUAAAGGUUUCGACGGGGGUUUGGAGUCUAGAGUAGCGAGUCAUGUUUACUCCGGUUCAUGUAAAAAACUUGGGAAUAAAUAUAAUUGCAAACGAUAAUUACGCUUUAGCUGCCUAAUCGCGGCUCGUCCUCCUAAGUGUCCCGCGAACUUAGAUAGGGCGUCAAACUAGUGGGGAACUGUCUUUAGGGGUGUCUCGACCAAAAGACGGAUCAAUUGGGACUGGCCGAGCAAGCAUUCUGUUGCUGGAAGAUUUGCAAGGCGAGAUUUAAAACAGCAAAUACACUCGUAGAAGCUCUAGGUAAAGGGCUUUCGGACAGGGGUUCGACUCCCCUCAUCUCCACCA
Molecule: non-coding RNA, 350 nt
Rfam family: transfer-messenger RNA
About the family: Bacterial tmRNA, also known as 10Sa RNA or SsrA, is named for its dual tRNA and mRNA-like properties. Its role is to liberate the mRNA from a stalled ribosome.
Source: Rfam